AACGAACGCUGGCGGCAUGCCUAACACAUGCAAGUCGAACGAGACCUUCGGGUCUAGUGGCGCACGGGUGCGUAACGCGUGGGAACCUGCCCUUAGGUUCGGAAUAACUCCCCGAAAGGGGUGCUAAUACCGGAUAAUGUCUUCGGACCAAAGAUUUAUCGCCUUUGGAUGGGCCCGCGUUGGAUUAGCUAGUUGGUAGGGUAAAAGCCUACCAAGGCGACGAUCCAUAGCUGGUCUGAGAGGAUGAUCAGCCACACUGGGACUGAGACACGGCCCAGACUCCUACGGGAGGCAGCAGUGGGGAAGAUUGGACAAUGGGCGAAAGCCUGAUCCAGCAAUGCCGCGUGAGUGAUGAAGGCCUUAGGGUUGUAAAGCUCUUUUACCCGGGAUGAUAAUGACAGGACCGGGAGAAGAAACUCCGGCUAACUCCGU
Molecule: ribosomal RNA, 432 nt
Filed under: uncultured bacterium
Lineage: Bacteria
Description: partial 16S ribosomal RNA
Rfam family: Bacterial small subunit ribosomal RNA
Source: RNAcentral